UUUUAGCCCAGAUCGCAACGGUAUCCUUUAUUGUUGCUUCUUUUGCAACAAUAAAGAUAUAGUGAAGAGCUGGAAAAGCU
RNAcentral lists this small RNA (80 nucleotides) under Flavobacterium sp. KMS. RNAcentral describes it as "Flavo-1 RNA". It matches the Rfam family "Flavo-1 RNA". The record is from Rfam by way of RNAcentral. Lineage: Bacteria; Pseudomonadati; Bacteroidota; Flavobacteriia; Flavobacteriales; Flavobacteriaceae.